This is a long non-coding RNA of Esox lucius (northern pike), 550 nucleotides long. RefSeq annotates it as progranulin. The transcript has 4 exons. The record is from RefSeq and is a predicted model, not a curated record. Lineage: Eukaryota; Metazoa; Chordata; Actinopteri; Esociformes; Esocidae.
CUGGACUCAAUAAGAACACAUGAACCUAUCACACUCAGGUGGCUGCAGAAGAAGUGCCCCUUUCUCUGGCCCACCUCAGUCUGAUGUCAUCUCUAUCCCGGUGAAGUGUGAUGCUACCACUUCCUGUCCAGAUGGUUCCUCCUGCUGUCAUCACCCCACCGGCAUUUGGACUUGCUGCCCAACACCAAAUGGUGGGUGUUGUCAUGAUGGGUGGCACUGUUGCCCUUCUGGUCAAAAGUGUGACAUCAGUAUGAACAGGUGUGUGAUCUCUGACGGCCUGAGGUGCCCCUUUAUUAUUAAGGAGCCGGUGCUUUCUGUGAUCAAAGCCACAAAGGUUUUCAAGGCAGUCAACAAGCAGAUCCCAUCGACACCACUUGGUCCCCAUUGACAAUCUGUUAGUAAACCUCUUAUAAUAAACCACAACUGCUUUUUUUGUGCCACAUAUGCAAGACUAACAACAAUUUCUUAUUAUUUUACAUUCCUAUUGAGAUUGGGACUGGACUUUUGUGAAUGCAAGUGGUGAACCAUACCAUUUACUAAGAAACGUAUG